RNAcentral lists this ribosomal RNA (413 nucleotides) under uncultured bacterium. Its description in RNAcentral is "bacterial SSU rRNA". It matches the Rfam family "Bacterial small subunit ribosomal RNA", at positions 28 to 414 of the family's 1533-position model. The record is from RNAcentral.
GACGAACGCUGGCGGCGUGCUUAACACAUGCAAGUCGAACGAAAGGACGGGAAGAGCUUGCUCUUUCCGGAAUUGAGUGGCAAACGGGUGAGUAACACGUAAACAACCUGCCUUCAGGAUGGGGACAACAGACGGAAACGACUGCUAAUACCGAAUAAGUUCCAAGAGCCGCAUGGCCCAUGGAAGAAAAGGUGGCCUCUACCUGUAAGCUAUCGCCUGAAGAGGGGUUUGCGUCUGAUUAGCUGGUUGGAGGGGUAACGGGCCCACCCAAGGCGACGAUCAGUAGCCGGUCUGAGAGGAUGAACGGCCACACUGGAACUGAGACACGGUCCAAACUCCUACGGGAGGCAGCAGUGAGGAAUAUUGGUCAAUGGACGAGAGUCUGAACCAGCCAAGUAGCGUGCAGGAGACGG